AAUAACGCCUCCCCCGAGGACCCCCUUCCCAGUAAGGGGCGAGGAAGCCUCCGGGGUAGGAAAACAGCAGUGAAGAAGUAGCAGGAGCUUCAGCAGAGCCUGGGCAGGUGCAGAAGAACCUAAAAAGGUGCCAGUUUGGUGCUGUCCCUCCCCAAUAAAGGAUAUUUUGCACUCCUGGCUCUCUCUGUUGGG
Calidris pugnax (ruff) is the source of this 192-nucleotide long non-coding RNA. RefSeq lists it as uncharacterized. The record is from RefSeq and is a predicted model, not a curated record. The transcript has 3 exons. NCBI's taxonomy places the organism in Eukaryota, Metazoa, Chordata, Aves, Charadriiformes, Scolopacidae.